GUAGUAUCACAUUUUGGAACUUUAGCACAGUUACCACACCUAUUAUCAAAGAGACAAAGGAUGCUCUAGUCCAAUUUAGCUACAGAUUGGGGCCAACGUACUGUCAAGUUGCUGCUCAGCUUCAGUUCAAGGUAUAGUGCAACUAAAUCACAAAGAUGUUCUAUAGAUUUGUCCAAAUAAGAGAAGAAGAAACAAGUAGACAUAUGCUAAAAUAAAUAAACAACAAAUGGUUUCUUUUAAAGUCUAUGUACAGAAAACAAUAAGAUACAUUUUCCUCCUAUGACUCAUCUGCCUAUUCAUGCAACUUAUUACAUCUUCCUCAAACCUUUCACCAAGUGGUGUGUGCAAAAAGAAUGCUGCAUUAAAUUAUCUAAAAACUCUGAAACUAUCUAUUCGUGUACAUUUGUCACCUAGGCGUUAUUCCAAAAACUCUGUUGUGCCAUAUUGAAUGGAGAAUCAUGUUAAAAACAUCAUACUUCACAGGCUUGACGUGCCAAAGGAAAUGCUGCUGCACCAUCUUGACCCUUCUCUGCAUCUCCCGGUACCUCUUCUCUGGGAUUGAUACAAGUAUGUCUUUC
Molecule: long non-coding RNA, 578 nt
Filed under: Nicotiana tabacum (common tobacco)
Lineage: Eukaryota; Viridiplantae; Streptophyta; Magnoliopsida; Solanales; Solanaceae
Description: long non-coding RNA (NTAB_LNC019113)
Source: RNAcentral